GAGUUUGAUCAUGGCUCAGGACGAACGCUGGCGGCGGGCCUAACACAUGCAAGUCGAAGGAGAAUCAGAACUUCGGUUUUGAGGAGACUGGCGCACGGGUGAGUAACGCGUAGACAAUUUGCCGACAGGUGGGGAAUAACUCCGCGAAAGCGGGGCUAAUACCGCAUGAUGCAGCGGGGCCGCAUGGCCACAGUUGUUAAAACUCCGGUGCCUGUCGAUAAGUCUGCGUCGCAUUAGUUAGUUGGUGGGGUAAUGGCCCACCAAGACGAUGAUGCGUAGGGGGUCUGAGAGGAUGAUCCCCCACACGGGAACUGAGACACGGUCCCGACUCCUACGGGAGGCAGCAGUGAGGAAUCUUGCGCAAUGGAGGAAACUCUGACGCAGCCACGCCGCGUGCAGGAAGACGGCCCUACGGGUUGUAAACUGCUUUUCUGUCGGAAGAACCCCCCGAUUCGUCGGGGACUGACGGUACGACAGGAAUAAGCACCGGCUAACUCCGUGCCAGCAGCCGCGGUAAUACGGAGGGUGCAAGCGUUGUCCGGAAUCAUUGGGUGUAAAGGGUGCGUAGGCGGAUGUUUAAGUCUGGGGUGAAAUCUUGCGGCUCAACCGUAAAACUGCCUCGGAUACUGGAUAUCUUGAGUGUGAGAGAGGCCGGCGGAAUUCGUAGUGUAGCGGUGAAAUGCUUAGAUAUUACGAAGAACACCAGUGGUGAAUACGGCUGGCUGGAUCACAACUGACGCUGAGGCACGAGAGCGUGGGGAGCGAACAGGAUUAGAUACCCUGGUAGUCCACGCUGUAAACGAUGUGUGCUAGGUGUUGGCCCUUUUGGGUCAGUACCGUAGCUAACGCGUUAAGCACACCACCUGGGGAGUACGUUCGCAAGAAUGAAACUCAAAGGAAUUGACGGGGGCCCGCGCAAGCGGUGGAGCAUGUGGCUUAAUUCGAUGCAACGCGAAGAACCUUACCCGGGCUAAAUCACAUCCGACCGAUCCUGAAAAGGGUCUUUCCUUCGGGACGGGUGUGAAGGUGCUGCAUGGCUGUCGUCAGCUCGUGCCGUGAGGUGUUGGGUUAAGUCCCGCAACGAGCGCAACCCCUAUGGCUAGUUACCAGCGCAUUAUGGCGGGGACUCUAGUCAGACUGCCUACGCAAGUAGAGAGGAAGGUGGGGACGACGUCAAGUCAUCAUGGCCCUUACGUCCGGGGCUGCACACGUGCUACAAUGGGCGGUACAGAGGGUGGCUACCCCGCGAGGGGAUGCAAAUCUCAAAAACCGUUCACAGUUCGGAUUGUGGUCUGCAACUCGACCACAUGAAGGUGGAAUCGCUAGUAAUCGCGUAUCAGCAACGACGCGGUGAAUACGUUCCCGGGCCUUGUACACACCGCCCGUA
RNAcentral lists this ribosomal RNA (1387 nucleotides) under uncultured bacterium. RNAcentral's name for it is "bacterial SSU rRNA". It matches the Rfam family "Bacterial small subunit ribosomal RNA". The record is from RNAcentral.